Podarcis muralis (Common wall lizard) is the source of this 1388-nucleotide long non-coding RNA. RefSeq lists it as uncharacterized. NCBI's taxonomy places the organism in Eukaryota, Metazoa, Chordata, Lepidosauria, Squamata, Lacertidae. The record is from RefSeq and is a predicted model, not a curated record.
UUUCAGCAGUGGGAUCAGGAAUGGUCAAAUUCGGGAAGGGUGAGACCCAGAGCGGAAUGAACCAGCAGAACAGUCAAGGAAGGAGAAUGAAGGAAGUCCACUCAGCCCUGGCAAGGAGCUUAGUGUUCUCCAUGCCAUCAUAAAAAGCUAGUUGCUCUUCCAAGCUUCACUUUGUUUUGGUCCAGAGAUAGAUCUUAUCACCCAACAGAGCCUAAAAAGGGUUAUAUAAAGAAAGCAGAGAGCACCAUCUCGAGCAGAGCCAAGACAAGAGGCAACUCUUCCUCACUUCUAUUCCUCUCUGCUGACCAAAGGGAGACACCCUGAUUCUGAGCCAUCAUGAAAUGGUCUAUCCUGCUAGCUGUAAUGAUCCUGGUUUGUGCUACAAGAAUUUUGGCUAACGAGGAGAGCCACAUUGAGGACCAGGCUGGCGUCCUAGAUGAUGCCAAUGUCCAGCACAUCUUGAAGCGCCAUACGUCCUCCGGUAACACCAAGGGCAGCAGCAGGAGCGCAUCGGGAGGCUCUGGAGCCAACAGUGCAGGCAGCAUGGGUGCAGAUGAGCCCAAGAUGGAUAAGGACGGAAACAGAAAUUAGGUCUGCUGCUUCAGACAGGUAUGCAGGAAAACGUGCCAUCAUUCAGUGAAGCCACAUAAGACAAGGAGCCAGUGCAACAGAGUAGUCCUCAUUGCAGAUCUUCCUUCGUGGCACCUCAAGCCAGAAUGCAGAAUCCCAGUUUGAUCUAAAAAUCAGUUCCUUUGGACCCCACCCACCAACAUAUCUGAGGACCUUGAUGCUUAUGGAUUCGGUUCAGCUCCAGGUUUUUAGGGAGGGGGAUUGGGGGUUGGGCAGGAAGUCUUGAUUUCAUGCACAAGUCCACUCUGCCCCCCAUCCCAAAAAGCUCUGGAAGGGGUUGAAUUAGAGCCCAUUUCAGGGAAAGAACAUGCAUAGCCAUAACCACAUAACUUGAACCUACACAUUACAAUAGUGGUGGAAAGAGGAGCUUAACAGAAUCUGUAUGACAUCAAGCAAUCUACACACUCUUUACUGUACAAUCCUACAUAGGAAACUAUCCUUAAUAUAACUGCAAAUAAUGAAACAUUCUUUGUUUUAAUUUCUGUUGUGUAACCAAUGAUCAAAGUAUUGAUUGAUUGAUUACCAGAAUGAUGGAAAAGGCUAUUAAUAACUUUGAUGUUUUCAUUUCUUUUCGGCCUUGGCACUCUUUGCUAUAAUCACAUAUAACACAAGUGUAAUGCAAUUUCUAAAGUAUAAGCAAUCUAAAGUAUGAUUUCUAAUGUAUAAGCAAAGUAAUUUAAUUUCUAAAGUAUAAGCAAUCUAUUGUGGCAAGAGGAGAAAAUCUUAAAAAAAACUUCGAUUGAUGUUUUGUUUUCACA